GCCCAGUUAGCUCAGUUGGCUAGAGCAUCAGGCUUUUAACCUGAGGGUCGUGGGUUCGAGUCCCAUACUGGGCG
Molecule: non-coding RNA, 74 nt
Organism: Oopsacas minuta
Lineage: Eukaryota; Metazoa; Porifera; Hexactinellida; Lyssacinosida; Leucopsacidae
Source: the annotation of a GenBank genome assembly